RNAcentral lists this ribosomal RNA (758 nucleotides) under uncultured bacterium. RNAcentral's name for it is "bacterial SSU rRNA". It matches the Rfam family "Bacterial small subunit ribosomal RNA", at positions 8 to 796 of the family's 1533-position model. The record is from RNAcentral.
AGAGUUUGAUCCUGGCUCAGAAUCAACGCUGGCGGCGCGCUUAACACAUGCAAGUCGAGCGAGAAAGGGGAGCAAUCCCUGAGUACAGCGGCGUACGGGUGAGUAACACGUGGGUCAUCUACCUCUUUGUGGGGAAUAACCCUGGGAAACCGGGGCUAAUACCGCAUAAGCCUGGAAAGGGAAAGCAAGCAAUUGCGCAGAGAGAGGAGCCCGCGGCCGAUUAGCUAGUUGGUGAGGUAACGGCUCACCAAGGCGACGAUCGGUAGCCGGCCUGAGAGGGCACACGGCCACACUGGCACUGAAACACGGGCCAGACUCCUACGGGAGGCAGCAGUGGGGAAUCUUGCACAAUGGAGGCAACUCUGAUGCAGCGACGCCGCGUGAGCGAUGAAGCCCCUCGGGGUGUAAAGCUCUUUCGGCAGGAACGAUAAUGACGGUACCUGAAGAAGAAGCUGCGGCUAACUACGUGCCAGCAGCCGCGGUAAUACGUAGGCAGCGAGCGUUGUUCGGAAUUACUGGGCGUAAAGAGUGUGUAGGCGGUGCUCUAAGUUCGGUGCGAAAUCUCCCGGCUUAACUGGGAGGGUGCGCCGGAAACUGGAGUGCUCGAGCGUGGGAGAGGAAAGCGGAAUUCCUGGUGUAGCGGUGAAAUGCGUAGAUAUCAGGAGGAACACCUGUGGUGUAGACGGCUUUCUGGACCAUAGCUGACGCUGAGACACGAAAGCGUGGGUAGCAAACAGGAUUAGAUACCCUGGUAGUCC